This 488-nucleotide non-coding RNA is filed under the name Pan troglodytes (chimpanzee). Lineage: Eukaryota; Metazoa; Chordata; Mammalia; Primates; Hominidae. The record is from RNAcentral.
AAAUUGACUCAGCGCCAGGUCUGCUGCAGUUUGCUGGAGGUCCGCUCCAGACCCUAUGUACCUGGAUAUCACCAGCGGAGGCUGCAGAAUAGCAAAGAUUGCUUCCUGGUCCUUCCUCUGGAAGCUUCAUCCCAGAGGGGCACUGGCCUGAUGUCAGCUGGAGCUCUCCUGUAUGAGCCUCCGGUAAGCACCAUUUUACUCUCUACCUCCAUGAGAUCAACUUUUUUAGCUCCCACAUUUGGUGCUCCAUCUAUACCAGGUUGCUACUUCAUGUUUGGACUUGGAUGAAACAGCAUACUAUAAGGCAUGAAACCUGGCUUCCUGAGUGGCAGCUGAGAGGAGAGAUGUAGCUGAACCAAUCAGCUACAACGUCAUUCCAGUGUCCAUACUUACAUAGUGGAAAAUCCUCUAAAGCCCACUUCUGAGAGAACACUAAUUUCUAGAUUUCACAUUUCCCGAAUCCCGUAUAAGAUCAGUUCUUUCUUGGU